GAUGAACGCUGGCGGCGUGCCUAAUACAUGCAAGUCGAGCGAACAGAUGAGGAGCUUGCUCCUCUGACGUUAGCGGCGGACGGGUGAGUAACACGUGGAUAACCUACCUAUAAUACUGGGAUAACUUCGGGAAACCGGAGCUAAUACCGGAUAAUAUAUUGAACCGCAUGGUUCAAUAGUGAAAGACGGUUUUGCUGUCACUUAUAGAUGGAUCCGCGCCGCAUGAGCUAGUUGGUAAGGUAACGGCUUACCAAGGCAACGAUGCGUAGCCGACCUGAGAGGAUGAGCAGCGACACUGGAACUGAGACACAGUCCAGACUACUACGGGAGGCAGCAGUGGGGAAUAUUGGACAAUGGGCGCAAGCCUGAUCCAGCCAUACCGCGUGAGUGAAGAAUGCCUUCGGGUUGUAAAACCCUUUUGUUGGGAGAAAAAAGCAGCAGGGUAAUACCCCGCGGUUCUGACGGUACCCAAAGAAUAAGCACGGGCUAACUUCGUG
This 497-nucleotide ribosomal RNA is filed under the name uncultured bacterium. RNAcentral's name for it is "partial 16S ribosomal RNA". It matches the Rfam family "Bacterial small subunit ribosomal RNA", at positions 28 to 507 of the family's 1533-position model. The record is from RNAcentral.